AAAUGAAAAUGGGUAAGUGAUGCAGUAUCCUAGUCAGAACGCCUCCACUGAAGGCGGGCCUAAAAAUCCGCCAAGGGCACAUCGAUGAAGUUCCUGGUGCUGGCUGCUGGCGCCCAGCCGGGGGCUGGUACUGGGAGUUAAGGCGGAAGGGCGACCCGCAAAGGCAUGCGGGCGUUGACCCUCCCGCCGCGGAGACCCAAGUGCGUGGGCUGACGCCUAUGGCUUGGGAUAGAACCUGUACGUGGUGGAAAGCUGCGUACAGCGUAGCCUGCCUUGAGUGGCCCGGGUGGAUGCAAAGAAAAGCGGCCUCCGGGUAUGGGCCCAUCCCGGAGGUCCGCUAGCUGAAACCCUGGCUGCAAAAGAGGCUAGGUGGAGGGCGGUUCUGUCGGGGAAAACCCCUAGGCUGUCCG
This 410-nucleotide small RNA is filed under the name Thermodesulfitimonas autotrophica. The record is from RNAcentral. Lineage: Bacteria; Bacillati; Bacillota; Clostridia; Thermoanaerobacterales; Thermoanaerobacteraceae.